GUGCCAGCCGCCGCGGUAAUACGAAGGGGGCUAGCGUUGUUCGGAAUUACUGGGCGUAAAGCGCACGUAGGCGGAUUGGCAAGUCAGGGGUGAAAUCCCGGGGCUCAACCUCGGAACUGCCUUUGAUACUGCCAGUCUAGAGUCCGGAAGAGGUGGGUGGAAUUCCUAGUGUAGAGGUGAAAUUCGCAGAUAUUAGGAAGAACACCGGUGGCGAAGGCGGCCCACUGGUCCGGAACUGACGCUGAGGUGCGAAAGCGUGGGGAGCAAACAGGAUUAGAAACCCUAGUAGUCC
Molecule: ribosomal RNA, 292 nt
Filed under: uncultured bacterium
Lineage: Bacteria
Description: partial 16S ribosomal RNA
Rfam family: Bacterial small subunit ribosomal RNA
Source: RNAcentral